Herpailurus yagouaroundi (jaguarundi) is the source of this 3412-nucleotide long non-coding RNA. RefSeq lists it as uncharacterized. The transcript has 4 exons. NCBI's taxonomy places the organism in Eukaryota, Metazoa, Chordata, Mammalia, Carnivora, Felidae. The record is from RefSeq and is a predicted model, not a curated record.
GGCUGGAUUACCAUGAAGUGCUCCUAAUUUGCACAGAGAGAUAAGGAGCUCAUCAUAACUGAGAGAGGGGGACUGUUAUUUCCAAGCAGCUGUGGCAGGCUGGUCCUCGGCUUGCUCAACCUGCAGUCUGGGCUCCUGCUACUGAAGGGACAGAAGGCGGAUGUUGGGAAGAACUUCCUAAGGAAGCAUCAAGAGGGGCCUGUGCGAUCCUAGCCUCAGGUGGCCUUUAGGGAGGGGCUCUGCCCAAAGUCCCCUUUCUGGGCCCUGAGCCCCAGUAGACCCUAGCUUUGGGAGGUUGACUGACCUGAUAGGGAGGGACAAGUUGCUGAACUUUCUCAGGCUUGGAUGGAGCUCAAGUGGGCAGCAGAGAGGUCUGGGGCACUUCAUUCUGGUGGGACAAGCUCCUGGCAUCUGAGCAAGAUGAGAAGACUGAGGCUGAAGAGGUGGCGCAGGGUCACACAGAGCAGGGAUCGGAACCACAUCCGGCUGACGCCAGCUCCCUGGGUUCUGGACCGCCUGGGAUGUCAGUGAGUCCACCUGCUCUGGCGAGGCCUGUGCUGGGCUCCGGGGAAGAGCCGUGAGCAGGGCAGAUGCGGUCCUGGCUCGCUCAGACCUUCGGCAAUCUGGCGUGGGUGAGGUAGCCUUGGGGACUCAGGUGGCUUUGCGGGUCCCUGAGCGACUGCUGGCAAGGGUGGGGUCAGGAAGGGGGCGUGUCCAGCACUUCCGCCUUCAGUGUCCCCGCUGCUAGCGUUUUUUUUUUUUUUUUUGCCCCGUAAGUAAUUGUGUGUAAGGCAAUUUUGCCCUAAAAGGAUGAGAAGAUAACUGGUUGACGGUUUGAUUUGACAGUUUGUUUUCAUUUCUCCGCGGACCCAGUCCCCCCAUGUUUAUACCACAGAGAUCUCAGCCCUCAUGAUCGUCUGGAUUGUGGUGCAGAGUUUGAACUCACAUCUGCCAGACAGCUUUGGAACAUCUAUCAAGGGACGUGCGACAAAGCCCAAGAACAAACGAUAGCGCAGAAGGCUUUCAUGUUGCAAUGCGAACCUCAUUUGCAAACACGCAUCCUAGUUUUUGGAAACGGGUUUUUCUCUUAGGAAGGAAGAAAUUUUAGGGAGAAUGGAAGGCGUGUGACGCUGCACAGAACGAUGAACCCACAGGCAAAGAGACGCGUGCAAUACUCCGACCCAAAGACACCGAAGACAAGUGUGAAGGUACAAUCCUCCAAAUAAAACCAGCUAUUCGCACCGCAUUGCUAUGGAUUUGCAGGGCACAAGGUUGGUGUGUACAUCUGAGGUGGCACCAGAAGUCAUGGAUCCAUGUACAUCAACUGGCUCUCACCAAGAAGUGACAGAAGCCUCAAAACCCAAUAAAGCCAAAUCUCUGAGCAGGGGAGCCAUGAACAGGUACAUCAAGGGGCUGAUGAUAGAGCCUCAGGAUGUGUGACGGGAAGGCCAAUUAGCUUCUGGGGUAUCCGGCCCCAGAGAGGAGGCAGGAGUGUGUGGUGGGCAAGAAUGCAGACUUCAAGGUCAGAUAAAUUUUGGUUCUCAUCUGGACUCCUCUACUUACUCCCUGGACGGCCCAGGCAAGCUUAGUGAUUUCUCUGAGCCUUGGUUUCCUCUUCCAUACAAUGGGAAUAAUAAUGUUAUUAGUUGUCUAUUGCUGCAUAACAAAUACCACUCCCCGCCCCCCCCCCCAAUUUAGUAGCUGAAAACCAUAUAUAUUUAUUGUCUUGCAGAUUUGGGGGGUCAGGUAUCCAGGAGUGGCUUAGCUGAGUCCUCUGCUCGGGGUCUGUUACAGUGAACGGGCUGCAGUUUCUCGUCAAUGUCAUGGGCUGUAGUUUCAUCCGAAGGCUGUGCUGGGGAAGGGCCCACUUCCUAACCCAUGCGCAGGAUGCUGGCAGCGUUCGAUUCCUCCAGGGCUGUCAGACUGAGGGUCUCAGUUCCCCACUGGUGGUUGGCUGCAGGCUGCCCUCGGUUUCUUGCCACAUGGGCCUUUCCAGCUUGCUUCGUGACUAAUUGCCAGAGAGAGAGAGAGAGGGCAAAUGAAGUCACAGUCUUUUAUAACCCAGUCCCAGAAGCACGAGGCCAUCACCUUUGCCCUAUUCUGUUAUUACUCAUGAGAAGCAACUCACCAGCCCACACUCAAGGUGAAGGGAUUGUUACACAAGGUGUUAUUAUGUGACUACCAGGAGAUGGGGAUCAUUGGGAUCCAUCUCAGAAUACAAUAAUGUCUAUUUUGGGGGAACGUCAUAAAGAGUAAAUGAGAGUCUGCACGUAUGUAAUCAGCGUGGCACCUGGCACUCAGGAUCUGCUCAAUACAGUGAUUAUUGUUAUUUUGUUGUUGUUAUUCUCAAAGCCGUUCUGGGCUGAGGCUGAGAUAGGACAGAGCCCAACAACCCACCCCAUCUCCACGCAGUCAAAUCCUGUGUAUCCCUGGGCUCGCCCCAGUGCUCCAGGAAGCUUUCCCCCAGUCAGCUGUGAACUGUACUUCCUUGAAUGUCCCCUCCUUGUUUGCAGGGAAGGGAGCACCACCCCUGGCUGGGCUGACGGUCACAAACACCCCACUAGCGUCGUCUAUCUCAUAGACCUUGGCGGUGGUGGGACUACAACGUUUGAGGUUUACAGAUUUCUGAGAUAUAGCAGCGGAAGGGUUAUAUAUACACACACACAUAUACACACACAUAUAUAUACACAUACACACACACACAUAUAUUUAAUCUGGAAGUUACAAAUUGUGAAGUUUGCAUUGUUACAAAAUAAAUAGGACUGUGACUUCUGUUUCACAAUUUCUGUAGUUCCUUUAUGUCCUUUUGGCAGUGCUGGCGUGUUGCUGACAGAUACAGGAUUUUCUCUCCCUCUGGGAAAUCGGAGGAGGGGGUCCUGUGACACCUUCCCACUCUGAGUGCUCUGCUCGUUAAAGAUGAGGGAACCACCACUCAGGUGAUUGGUCCAAGAUCACAACACGGUGGAACCAGGAUUUGGUUCUCUGGUUCUAAGCCCAUGCAUGGUCUUUGUGUUAUAUUCGUUCAUCCAUUUAUUCAGGAGGCAUUGUUUAGUCUCAGCGAUGCGCCAGCCUCUGUGCCAGGUACUAGGAAUAGAGUGAUGAGUACGUUUUUGUGCCAGGUCUAAAAUGCCCUGAAUGUUCCCCUCCUCUCCUACUUCCAUCGGAUUAUAGCUUUUCCAAACAGAGCCCCCACUUUCUCAACAUCUCUCCUUCUCUGUGUCUACCACAUGCUUUUGAAUUUGAAGUGGGACUAUAUUUAAGGCGAGGUUCUAUCAGCCAUUGGUUUGGGUGGAAGUGUAGCAGGAAAUGGCUUUAAGGUCCCAAGGGAGAAGGAUCUGACCAGAUAUAGAUUUGGAUGAAAGGUGGUCAGAGGCCCCGGAGGAAAAUGAGGAAUGAGGUCUAUAGAUUAAAG